CCUACGGGAGGCUGCAGUGGGGAAUAUUGGACAAUGGGGGCAACCCUGAUCCAGCCAUGCCGCGUGUGUGAAGAAGGCCCUCGGGUUGUAAAGCACUUUCAGUGAGGAAGAACGCCUGGUGGUUAAUACCCAUCAGGAAAGACAUCACUCACAGAAGAAGCACCGGCUAACUCCGUGCCAGCAGCCGCGGUAAUACGGAGGGUGCGAGCGUUAAUCGGAAUUACUGGGCGUAAAGCGCGCGUAGGUGGCUUGAUAAGCCGGUUGUGAAAGCCCCGGGCUCAACCUGGGAACGGCAUCCGGAGCUGUCAAGCUAGAGUGCAGGAGAGGAAGGUAGAAUUCCCGGUGUAGCGGUGAAAUGCGUAGAGAUCGGGAGGAAUACCAGUGGCGAAGGCGGCCUUCUGGACUGACACUGACACUGAGGUGCGAAAGCGUGGGUAGCAAACAGGAUUAGAUACCCUGGUAGUC
RNAcentral lists this ribosomal RNA (465 nucleotides) under Vreelandella stevensii. Its description in RNAcentral is "partial 16S ribosomal RNA". It matches the Rfam family "Bacterial small subunit ribosomal RNA", at positions 338 to 795 of the family's 1533-position model. Lineage: Bacteria; Pseudomonadati; Pseudomonadota; Gammaproteobacteria; Oceanospirillales; Halomonadaceae. The record is from RNAcentral.